This is a non-coding RNA of Cricetulus griseus (Chinese hamster), 650 nucleotides long. NCBI's taxonomy places the organism in Eukaryota, Metazoa, Chordata, Mammalia, Rodentia, Cricetidae. The record is from RefSeq and is a predicted model, not a curated record.
AAGAGACCGGAAGUGGGCUCAUUUUCCACCGGAAGGAGAGAGAAGUUACAUGCAGAAGCCAGACACCUGAUGCUGGCAGCGCUUGUCGCGUGAAGUUGGGCCAGUAUCUGGCCAUCUAUUGCGGCGGGCGACAGUGGUGUCCCAGGAGGCUGGCUGGAGUGGCAGGCGUCAGAGGAAUGGGAGUAGAAGAGAUGGGUAUGUGAGUCCCUGAAAGCAGAGAGCAGUUCUUUGCAUGCUGUGAGCAUUCACGGAUGAUGCAGCCACACCAUGCCUCUGACAUGCAUAAUUCAAGUGGAGCAGAUACAGGCCUGUGGUUCCAGUACCACCGCUUGAGGAUUCUGUAAACGAUUUAUCAGCAGGUUGCAGCUGAACAUGGACAUGAGGUAAACCCUGCCCCUGGUUAAAAUUUAGUUUAAUCAACUUCUGCAUGGAAUUGUAAGGACAUGGACUAUAUCACAGAAUCCAGCAGGUUCCCUCCCCCUUUCUUUAGAUUUAUCUUUUCUUCUUUAAGAAGAUAACAUGCUUAAACAAAGUUUCUUUAUGGUUAGCAACUGUGAUUCUUGAAGUUGGGCAACCCCUAGUUUAAAUAAAUUUUAAAUGUCAAAGAUCUAGAUAUCUUGUUAAAUUAAAAAAAAAGUAUUAAAAUCCUA